GGUGGUGCAUGGUUGUCGUCAGCUCGUGUCGUGAGAUGUUCGGGUUAAGUCCCGCAACGAGCCGCAACCCUCGACCUUAGUUGCCAGCAUUCAGUUGGGCACUCUAAGGUGACUGCCGGCUAAAAGUCGGAGGAAGUGGGGAUGACGUCAAAUCAUCAUGCCCUUAUGACCUGGGCUACACACGUGCUACAAUGGGCGGUACAAAGGGUCGCGAACCCGCGAGGGGGAGCCAAUCCCAUAAAGCCAUUCGUAGUCCGGAUCGCAGUCUGCAACUCGACUGCGUGAAGUCGGAAUCGCUAGUAAUCGUGGAUCAGAAUGUCACGGUGAAUACGUUCCCGGGUCUU
RNAcentral lists this ribosomal RNA (344 nucleotides) under uncultured Polaromonas sp. RNAcentral's name for it is "bacterial SSU rRNA". It matches the Rfam family "Bacterial small subunit ribosomal RNA", at positions 1037 to 1382 of the family's 1533-position model. The record is from RNAcentral. Lineage: Bacteria; Pseudomonadati; Pseudomonadota; Betaproteobacteria; Burkholderiales; Comamonadaceae.